AUUGAACGCUGGCGGCAUGCCUUACACAUGCAAGUCGAACGGCAGCACGGGUGCUUGCACCUGGUGGCGAGUGGCGAACGGGUGAGUAAUACAUCGGAACAUGUCCUGUAGUGGGGGAUAGCCCGGCGAAAGCCGGAUUAAUACCGCAUACGAUCUACGGAUGAAAGCGGGGGACCUUCGGGCCUCGCGCUAUAGGGUUGGCUGAUGGCUGAUUAGCUAGUUGGUGGGGUAAAGGCCUACCAAGGCGACGAUCAGUAGCUGGUCUGAGAGGACGACCAGCCACACUGGGACUGUGACACGGCCCAGACUCCUACGGGAGGCAGCAGUGGGGAAUUUUGGACAAUGGGCGAAAGCCUGAUCCAGCAAUGCCGCGUGUGUGAAGAAGGCCUUCGGGUUGUAAAGCACUUUUGUCCGGAAAGAAAUCCUUGGCCCUAAUACGGUCGGGGGAUGACGGUACCGGAAGAAUAAGCACCGGCUAACUACGUG
Molecule: ribosomal RNA, 486 nt
Filed under: uncultured bacterium
Lineage: Bacteria
Description: partial 16S ribosomal RNA
Rfam family: Bacterial small subunit ribosomal RNA
Source: RNAcentral